GUUCGUACACACACACUCCAUCAUAGCUCCAAGAAAACAAAGGGGAUCCAAGAGAAAGCACAAUUUACAUGUGAUAAGAAUAAUAAUCUGUGUGUGAUACUACUAGACUAGAUUCACGGUAGAAUCAAAGAAAGAAGUACCAAAGUAGACAUCAAUAACGAAAAUGCAAGCAACACAGAAAAAAUGUAUAUAUAUUCAAUAAAGCAGUCCUAUGUUAUUUUCACAAAGUUUCAUGUACCCUAUAUAAAAAUGCAGACUAAAUGCUCCAGUUUCAACGACAGCGAGCACAUGCUUUAUCAUAUGUCAACAAGAAAGGAUCAGAAAAGUAUGUAAGUAAAGCUUAUGGUCAUUCAACUCAGUCAUCAGGCAGAGGGUAGAAGAGAUAAUUACCUUGAAGAUUAUGAUUAUGAUG
Long non-coding RNA from Arabidopsis thaliana (thale cress), 412 nucleotides. RefSeq annotates it as other RNA. The transcript has a single exon. The record is from RefSeq. Lineage: Eukaryota; Viridiplantae; Streptophyta; Magnoliopsida; Brassicales; Brassicaceae.